AUGUACAGCCCUAGAGACUGAACCCUUAUAUUUAUCCACAGAACAGGUACAGCACAAUCAGCAGCAGUGCAAGCUUUCCCACAGCAAAGUCUCAUCCAAAUGUCUCAGCCCUGUUCUGGAGGAUACAUCAGUUGAGGUGAGAAGGUAGCUCAGUCUCUUUCUACUGAGACAUUAUUUGGCUUUU
RNAcentral lists this small RNA (184 nucleotides) under Notechis scutatus (mainland tiger snake). RNAcentral's name for it is "TUC338 (ENSNSUG00000008853.1)". Lineage: Eukaryota; Metazoa; Chordata; Lepidosauria; Squamata; Elapidae. The record is from RNAcentral.